AACGAACGCUGGCGGCGCGCCUAAUACAUGCAAGUCGAGCGAGAAGACGUAGCAAUACGUUUGUAAAGCGGCGAACGGGUGAGGAAUACAUGGGUAACCUACCCUCGAGUGGGGGAAUAACUAGCCGAAAGGUUAGCUAAUACCGCGUACGCUCCUUGGACUUCGGUUCAGGGAGGAAAGCGAUACCGUGGGUAUCGCGCUCUUGGAUGGGGCUCAUGUCCUACCAGCUUGUUGGUGAGGUAACGGCUCACCAAGGCUUCGACGGGUAGAUGGUCUGAGAGGACGAUCAGCCACACUGGCACUGCGACACGGGCCAGACUCCUACGGGGAGCAGCAGUAAGGAAUAUGCGCAAUGGGCGAAAGCCUGACGCAGCGACGCCGCGGUGGGGGA
RNAcentral lists this ribosomal RNA (391 nucleotides) under uncultured bacterium. RNAcentral's name for it is "bacterial SSU rRNA". It matches the Rfam family "Bacterial small subunit ribosomal RNA", at positions 29 to 408 of the family's 1533-position model. The record is from RNAcentral.